Molecule: small nucleolar RNA, 129 nt
Organism: Apodemus sylvaticus (European woodmouse)
Lineage: Eukaryota; Metazoa; Chordata; Mammalia; Rodentia; Muridae
Product: small nucleolar RNA SNORA17
Exons: 1
Source: RefSeq, a predicted model, not a curated record
GCUGCCUUAGAGGAGUUGCAGGUGUGGCUGCUGCUGUGUCACCUGUGCAUCAGAAGGUGACAGAGAGGAAAGAGGCUGUGUCUCUCUGCUCAGUGUUGUGAACAGCUGGAUGAUUUGUGGUCUGACACU